This 380-nucleotide ribosomal RNA is filed under the name uncultured Alphaproteobacteria bacterium. RNAcentral describes it as "bacterial SSU rRNA". It matches the Rfam family "Bacterial small subunit ribosomal RNA", at positions 9 to 419 of the family's 1533-position model. Lineage: Bacteria; Pseudomonadati; Pseudomonadota; Alphaproteobacteria. The record is from RNAcentral.
GAGUUUGAUCUUGGCUCAGAGCGAACGCUGGCGGCAGGCCUAAUACAUGCAAGUCGAGCGCCCCUUCGGGGGAGCGGCGGACGGGUGAGUAACGCGUGGGAAUGUGCCCUUUGGUACGGAACAACACAGGGAAACUUGUGCUAAUACCGUAUGUGCCCUUCGGGGGAAAGAUUUAUCGCCAUUGGAGCAGCCCGCGUUGGAUUAGCUAGUUGGUGGGGUAAAGGCCCACCAAGGCGACGAUCCAUAGCUGGUCUGAGAGGAUGAUCAGCCACACUGGGACUGAGACACGGCCCAGACUCCUACGGGAGGCAGCAGUGGGGAAUAUUGCGCAAUGGGGGAAACCCUGACGCAGCGACGCCGCGUGGGUGAUGAAGGCCUUC